This is a non-coding RNA of Cinara cedri, 245 nucleotides long. NCBI's taxonomy places the organism in Eukaryota, Metazoa, Arthropoda, Insecta, Hemiptera, Aphididae. The record is from the annotation of a GenBank genome assembly.
CUAUUUUCUGCGUUUUUUACCGGGUUUUUCCCAUUUAUCGGGAAAAACUCCUAGGAAAAUUAAAAACAAUUUGCUCCGUAAAGUAUGCUCCCGUAAAUGGGAGCGAAAUUCAGAAUUCAAAAAUCCGUUUUUCCCAAUCACAAGAAUAUCGUUAUUGACGGGCGACUAAUGGGAGGAAUGGCACAGAAAAAAAAAACCAACGAAAUAAUAGUAAAUAAAAAUAUUCGCGCGGUGUGCGGCGGCGG